RNAcentral lists this ribosomal RNA (468 nucleotides) under uncultured bacterium. RNAcentral's name for it is "partial 16S ribosomal RNA". It matches the Rfam family "Bacterial small subunit ribosomal RNA", at positions 28 to 507 of the family's 1533-position model. The record is from RNAcentral.
GACGAACGCUGGCGGCGUGCUUAACACAUGCAAGUCGAACGGUGAGGCGCCUUCUUUGUUGGUGGCUCUGGUGGCGAGGCGAAGGGUAACGCGACACUUACCUAACCUUCCCUUUGCUAUAGCUUCACCACACUGGAGCUUAUCUCGUAUGGGAUCUUCUGGUGCUUUGUCGGGGUUGGUAUGGUUCGGCGGUUGGGGAUGGACUCGCGGCUUAGCAGCUCGAUGGUGGGGUAGUGGCUUACCAAGGCUUUGACGGGUAGCCGGCCUGAGAGGGUGACCGGCCACAGUGGGACUGAGAGACGGCCCAGACUCCGACGGGAGGCAGCAGUGGGGAAUAUUGCACAAUGGGCGGAAGCCUGAGGCAGCAACGCCGCGUGCGGGAUGACGGCCUUCGGGUUGUAAACCGCUUUCGCCUGUGACGAAGCGUGAGUGACGGUAAUGGGUAAAGAAGCACCGGCUAACUACGUG